UGCUAUUUGAUUACUAUCCUUAGUUGAGAAAAAAGAAAAAAAGAAGAAGAAGAAUGAUGGGCUGAUUUUAUAAGAUUUGCAUUGUAUUGCAGGAUUUUGCAAUGGCAAUCUAGGAUGCAUGGAUACUUCAUUUAGGGGUGUAGUCAUGUACCAUGUUGUACUUGCUGUUUGAUGUUAUAGUUUCCAUUUAGGGGUGUAGCCAUGUACCAUGUUGUACUUGCCGUUUGAUGUUAUAGUUUUUUAAAAAUUGAUGUGUCAUUGCAUUGUACUCAUGUCUGUAUCAUGGCAAUGCCCUAAGCUUUCUUUCUUUUUGGUAACGUAUUUUAUAUUUUGGUAUUAUCUUAGCAUUUACCAAGAUAUUGUGUUUUUUUGUAAUGUGUAAUGUGCAAUUGGUUUUAGUGCGUUUUUGUUGAGUUUGCAGCAUCUAUGUGUUUGUUAAAAUGUCUGGUGGACUUUAAUUUUGUAUUGGCUUUGCGUUUGCAAAAAUUCUUUUAUGAUCAAUUGAACUAGACACCUAUAGGUUUUGAUCUCUUUCUUUUUCUUCUGUUCAAAUAGGAGGCACAGCAAGUGAUACAGUGAGCUCAAUUCGUGUUAGGGUUUGAAUUCUGUUAGCAGAGAGUACUAGACAGGUUUGGCGAUGGAGAAGCAUCGUUGUAAUAUUGGAUCUUGUAGAUAAUAUGGCAACCCAAACUCUCUUUUGAGCAGAAGCAGAAAUUUUUACUUUAAAACACCUUUUAGUCACUGUAUUCGCAUAUGAGUUUGCAAUUUGGGAGUAUUGAUUAAUUACUGGUCAACUGUAUUGAUAUGUUUCUUAUGGCAUUUUUCUAGAUGAUGCAUUUGUAUUUUAUUUGUAUUUUCUUUUUUUAAAUUUUUAAGGCUUUGAUAUUGGACUUGUAUAAAAAUGUUUGCUUGCUUUGUAGGGUUUGGCGUUGUUGGCACACAAGAAGCUCAUUGUGGAGAAGCUUGCGGGAGAGGAGACUGAACAGAAAGUCAAAGGGGAGGCCAAGAAGGAAAAACACUGGGUGGCAGAAAAGGGGUUGUCCGCAUCAAGGGGCAUGUAAAACCUGCGAAUUAUUUGGAUUCACAUGAGAAGUUUUUGAUUGGGUUAUGUAAAAAGGAUUGAAAUGUUGAGAGCUAAACAGAUCAGGCUCGUACAAGAAGAAGAAAGAAAUGGAAGAGCAACAAAAAAUUGAAAGGGAUAAGAGAGAGCAUAGGACGAACCGUGAAGGCACAAAACUUUUGCUUUCUGAAAAGUGUCAAUACAAGUAUACAACAAGAAAAAUCAGCCUAAAGCUCAAGACAAACAGACCUCUUUCCCACCUUCAUUGAAGCUGCAUCAGAUGAAAUCAUCACCUGAACUAAACAUGCUCACACAUUCACCACAGAACACAGAGAGUUAGCGGUGGUGGAGGUCAUUGCAGUGGUAGCAGCAUGGUUUGAAAGAGGUUUAAGGUGGAGAACUGUAGAAUUAUGUGUUUAACAAAAAAAAGUGUAGACGAUAUGGCUCAAAAGAUUUCAUGAAUCUCAAGAAUAAUAACUAUGCCAACAAAGAGAACAGUGCUAUUUGGGCAAGUAUACUGAGAGCUCGUGAUUUGGUUGUAAAUAGUGGAGUUAAAGGUUCAUUGAAGCUUAUAAUCCCUUUUUUUCUGCUCGCCAACUUGGCUUUGUGCAACUGAUUCCUCUCCCACCUAUUUUCACUGGCAAUGUGCCUUGGCAUGAGAGAGCAACUGUAAAAAUGGAUGAGAUCAAUGUUUUGAACUCCAAAGAUGAAGCUCAAACAGAAUCUUUUAAAUUGAAAUUGUUCUGGAGGUGGUCUGAAUCCUCUAAACCAUUUGAGGAAUGGUGGGACAUUUACUUGUCCUAUUUCAACACCCCUGAAGCACUUCAAGGUUGUUGGAUACCUGGCCCAAGUGUUUAAGGAUCAUUUCAGGAUUUGGCUUCAAUGAAUCUGACAGAAAAAGAUGAAGGAAAAAGAGUGCAAGAAACUGAAGAACAAGGGGAUGAUGAAGACAUAUUUGCCAAGGCUCGUGCUGUACUUGAUAAUCUUGAAACAAGCGUACCUUCAGCAUCAUCAAAUGUGGAUUUCGUCAUGCUGAAUGAGACCUUACUGUGCAUUUGCUCUUAUGUGGUCAAUUCUGUAGAUGAAGUUCUCCUAGAUGAUGUUGCUCAAGGUUGAUUCUAUGAACUUUGUCAAUCCAUACUCCCCUACAUGCAUAAAGAAGAUAGGAUUGAAGGUCCAAUUCUUUCUAUGUUCAUGGACCAAUAUGAGAGCUCUAUCAAAGACCUUUCUCAGAUCAGAAAUAAAAGAAACAUAAUUGAAGCUCUUAAUCAUAUCAUUUCUCACACUCCAAAUCCUAGAGCAGCAUUCAAAAUUCAAGUAGCUGAUGCUUUGCAACAUUUGACCACUACAUCAAAUAAAUUGAUGCAAGCAGAACAAGAACGAUGCGAGGCUCAAGCCAAAGUCAAUAGAUGUGUUCAGAAAAAGAAUGAGGCUAAAGCAUUUGUGGAUGGACUGCUCCAACAAAAUGAAGAAGUGUCAAGACGUUUUGAGUCUCUUUCUAGAUCUGAAGAAGAAACAAAGAACCUGACUAUUGAAGUAGUUUUUACUGAAGAGAAAAUUAGAAAUAACUGGUCACUGAUUCGCAGUAUAUUAGAUAAUUUUCAAUUUGAGGAAUAAACUCUUCUUAGUGUGCAUUUGUCUCUAGCUUAAAA
Molecule: long non-coding RNA, 2712 nt
Organism: Quercus lobata
Lineage: Eukaryota; Viridiplantae; Streptophyta; Magnoliopsida; Fagales; Fagaceae
Exons: 6
Source: RefSeq, a predicted model, not a curated record